RNAcentral lists this unclassified non-coding RNA (5210 nucleotides) under Hevea brasiliensis (rubber tree). The record is from RNAcentral. Lineage: Eukaryota; Viridiplantae; Streptophyta; Magnoliopsida; Malpighiales; Euphorbiaceae.
CUUCUUUGUCCUGAUCUCUUCUCAUGUGUGAGAGACUCCUUGCUUAUAAUGGAGAUUAAGCAACAAUAUCCAAGCGGCAAACGGGAGUUCGGCCGUGUGAAGUCUUUUGUGGCCUAGGUUUUUAGUGCUUAGGUCGGGCCUCCUGUAAAUGGAUCUAGCUUGUCAAGCCUUUAGAAAACCCUUUUCUCUUGGUAUUGAAUUUGAGCCUUCUUGUACUGUAAACGGCUUUCAAGCCCAUCAAUGAAAUUACUUUAUCCUUGGGAAAAAAAAAAAUAUUUUAAUAAUAAGAGACAAAUAAUAAAUAACUGCUCCAUAAUCUAACGUAAAUCAAACUGGAUGAAUCCUUUCAUGUAAGUACAUAUAUACGUAAUUGAAACAUAUAUGAUCAGAAUACCACCAUGGUUUCCAUCGUUUUACAAAUUACUGAGCCCAUUUAAUUUCAGAUCAAUACGUGAGCUUCUCUAUUAACCUAUAUUCAUCAGAUCCUUGUAGUAUCAAUCUAUACAUUACAUUCUUGCAACAGAGCAUCCUAUUCCAUGACACAGCCCUUUUUCCACUUUCCUGGGAGUCUAAUAAUUUAAAGCCCAUAUGAUAGAAGCAUGGAGAUCAAAUAUGGUAUCAAAUAGAACAAGAAUCAUCAUGAAAGAAGGCCAUUUCCCUGCUUAGAUUAUGCAACUGACCAUCUUAAGUUAUCAAAACCUUCUUGCUUUGGACAUGCAACUGACCCUCAAACCUUUGAAGCUGGGCUUAGAAGCAUCUCUCUUUAUCAGCCUCUGUACUUUUGAGGAGAAUCUCGUCUCCCAUGCUUUUUAUCCUCAAAAUUAGUGGUGCAACCAUACUUUUGUCACAUAAAAGCAAAGUGAAUAAUUAAAGUUCAGCUUUCAUAUGGCCUGGUGGCAGUGAUCCUGUAACAAAGAUUACUUUGUGCUCAGUGUAGAAGCACUUGACUUACAGCAUUGGAAAGGUUAAUUGGGCAAAAUGAAAAAAGUUAAUACCAUUUAUAUCUUGGCUAUCUUGUGGAGCACUGGUUGCAUAGCCCAUCUGCACAACAUUGUUGAGCUCAUAAUCCCAUGCAUUGGGAAGCUGGCAAGUGCAUUAAAACGAAUGGAAAAUUAGCACAUCCACAUUCAAAAGACCAAGUAGAAAGACUAAUUUCAUUUGAUUGGUAUUGUAUCUACAAAAUUUCAUCCAUCAGAACUGUCUCAUCAUAUAGUAUACACUACAUUAGCCAAAUAGAAACAUACACAAAGAUAUAAAUUCACAAUUACCCCUUAAUAAUAUUUUGCAAAGAGGGAUUCCUAGAUACUUGUGUCCUAGGCAAUCCAAAAGUCUCAUACUCAACAAAGCAAUUAAGUUCGCAUUGAUUAAUAAGCCCUUUGAUAACCAAAAUACCUCUAUCAGCACCUGCUAAUAUUUCAAAAUGCCAAACAAUUAAAAAUGUUAUCAGGAAUCCAAAAAUGGACCAACGGUUACCUGUGUAGGCUCCUUGAAUCCCCCAGUCAAUGGCGUCAGUUGUGAAUUAAUGGCUCUCCGGAGCAUCUCAGAAUGGCUCUCCAUGCCAGGAAAAGAACCUUGAAUAAGUCCUGGUUGAGAUACAUUAAAUGGGGGAUAAACCAUAGGCACCUCCGGUGAAAAUGCCAGAUUAGAUGAAGGAACCGCCCUUGAGUGAAGGAUCUGCACGUACAGGCAGAAUCCAAUAUAUUACAGGGACCAGAUAUUACACACACACAUGCCCACUCGUUUGCACACACUAGUAAAUUUACAUCUGACUGAUCCAUAAACUAGCUCUCAAUUAAGAAAACACUGAAUACGCUGGACAGUAUGAGUUAACUAAACUUAUAUUCACUUACAUCUUUUGUGUGAAGUCCUUCUAUGUUGAAAUCCAGCCUUGGAUUCACUGUUGCUAGUUUCAUUGAUAGAAACUGAAAAACAAAAAAUUUCAACUCAGCAAAACUGCACACAAGUCCAAAUAAAGAGGUAAAAUCUGAAUAAGAGUCGAAUGUAUUUUGUUUAUUUUAUCAAAUGCAUGGUUGUGGGAGAAAUCCCAUAAACUAGAAUCCUUUCAAAGCAAUCCAUGACAUGAGUAGCACAACGUUAUCCCCCUUAACAAUCCAAACAUAAUUGUCUAUGAAAUUGCAUUGUUUCUGACACAGAUGACCUGGACUAAUUAAGAACUACCCAAACAUAGGAAGAAAAAUUGAAACAGAAUAUUACUGCAUACCUCAACCUGCCGUUGCAAUGAUUGCACAUAGUUGAUAAUUUCAUCUAGCAUCACUGCCUUGCCAAUUACCUGCAAAAUUCAAUUGAUGUUCAUGAAAUGAACUGCAACAACAUUUUAAUCAUGUGGACAACUCAAUCACAUUCCCUAACCAACAAACAAACCUUGCUGCAACCAGGUACAAGGUCUUGCAGAAACUUCAUCCUUUCACUAAUCUUUUCCCUCCUGACUCUUUCUGCAAGACUAUGACUAUUUGUUGCUUGACCUCUUCGAGCUCUGACAUGAAUAUAUUCUUCUUUUGGUGGAUCUGAAGCUUGAGAUCCUUGUUUACCUUGUUUUCCAGCAGUCUUAUUGGGAGUUGAAGCUGGGUUUUCAUCUCCCUUCUGUUGAACUUCAGGGUUAUCCUUUGCAGCUUCAAUAGAUUGUUGGUUUCCAUUGGCCUGAUAAGGAUCAGCAUCCUGCCCAUUCCUUUUCCUUUUCUUUAAGCCAGGGCUUUUAGCAGACAGUUCCCCGCCAUUUCCUUCCAACAUAGAUUGCUCUUCUUGACGACCACCACCACUGAACUCAGUUUCCUCAGACUCAUUACCAGACCCACCUUGUUUUGCUUCAUCAUGAGAUCUUACAAAGCUCCCACUUCUCCUCUCAUUCUUGAGUGGGCUCCCUUCAGUAGCCACAUGUUCAACUGACAAAGAAGCAUCUUUAGAGGAGUCACCCAUAUUCAUAACAUUCUUCUGACCUUGUCCACCAGGUAUUGAUUUCAAUCCACUACCCGCAAAAACCUCAUGUGGUACUUGCAUCAUUCCCCCACCCCUAGAAUAAAGAUCCAUAGGCUCAGGAAUUCCUAAAGGGUUUACCACAUCACUAAAAUUCCCACCAUUGAAGCAGGAAAACCUAGCAGCACGCUCAAUGAAUGCAGAAUCUGCAGGAAACUGAGAUAAGCUCUGUGGGAGCACACCAGGGGUAGUUGGUAAGAAAAUACCACCUUUCAGCUGGGAACUUGGUGGAUUCCACCCUAUAUCCAGCGUUUUAUCAAUACCACUUCUCAAAGAAGCGGGACCGCCUUUUCCAAUUCCUAUUGGGUUUAUAGUGCUCGCGUUAUGUUGGACAUUAAUAUCACAAAAUCCCAAGUUCUGUGUAUUUGUGGGGUGGUCCCAUACUCCUGGACUAAAGGAGUCCACCAUAGAAGCAGAAGAACAAGAAGUGCCAACUAGAUCUCCUCUACAAACUGGCAUCUGAUUAUCGGUGGAAACCAAACCCAGAGAUGAAUUUGCAAUAUUGGCGCCGCUAAAUCGCCAGUCUGAGGGCACACUACCAGGUAAAUGGUAGUUUAUAUGAUUUUCACUCCUCUUCUCUAGAUCAAAUUUAUCCUUGUCACCCAUUUCCAUCUCUUCUUCACAAGAAUAGUAAAAGUAGCCAACAGUAGAUUCCUCCUCUCACAAUUGUGUUUGAGCUAUCAGAAACAGUCUAUAGAAUUCUAGAAACAGUAGAAAGUGAAAAAAAUUACUCACCCCAAAGUUAUCCUUAUUGCUCAAAAUGAUCAAAGACCAAAAGAAGCAGGGGAAAUUGGAAAAGGAAAAAUAAAUCAAACAAAGAACUUUUAGUUACCUAACAUUCAUUAUUAAAAUAACUUCACAAACAAGCUUCAACUGAAACCACAGAAAGUAAACUUACAAUAUAAGAAACUUGACAAUUCAUUGUGAUGUCAAGAUAUUCCUUCAAAAGCUCAAUUCCCAUCCAAAUAAAAAAGAAAUUAUCUAAAGCCAACCAUUCAUAGCUAAGUAGAAAGAUCCACUUCAAUUAAUCGGCCUAAAAACCCAAAAAAGCUGUUACUGAAACCCCCAGGUUCCAGAAUAUGUUCCAAAGAUCACAGAAGUUGAAUUGCUACCAUUUCCAAAGCUACCCAACAAGUGAAGUUGAAGUGGACCAAAAUUGCAAUAAAGAAAUCACCUUCAAGACAAAACAAACUCAAAAAAGAAAGUUCAAAGAAAGCUGCGAAAGGUUCCGAUAGAAGCAGUCAAAUAAACAAACAAAAGAACAUUGAUUUCAGGACAGUAAGCAGCCCACUCAAAACCCUAGUCAGAGUUGAACAGCAGAGAGAGGAACCCCAGCUAAAAGUGGCAAGAGAUAGAUACCCAUUUCAGAUUCUGUGCUACUUUUGGUACUGCUGCUCCUCUUUCAAGCCUUUUUCCACUCAAACUAUCUUUUAUUGAAUUUUUGGUAAUCUGUUCUGUUCAAAUCCCUCCUCUGCUUUAUUUUGCUCAUACACUCUGCUAUACACUGCCACAUGCACCCACCCAUGACCCACCUACCCCAGCACACAUACAUACAUAAACACAACGAGAGUUACAGAGAGGGAAAAAAUUUAGCUGCAGAGGGAGAAAACUUGAAGAUGGGCAUCUGUGUAAUAGAAGGGAGAAUGAAAGAAAAAGAAAGACAACGGCAAAGGUGUUAGAUUUAUAGCCACGCUUGCAUCAAAAAGAGAGCUUUGAUGAUUAACCACCGCCACUGCUACCUUAAAAUUAUUAAAAACUCCUCCUUUCUACUGUUUCUUUGCUUACUUUACAUUUAUUACCUUUUUUCUUCUUUUAAUCUGCACUUCGCUUAUUUUAGUGUUUAAUUAUGCUUAGUGUUAGCUAGCAACUGACAUUGCCAACUCUCAUUGUGAAUUUUCUUAAUCUUAUUGUGAUUAUUUUACUUUGUCUUUUUGAUUAAAAUCUUGGAAAUAGAGCUCAAGAUCUUUAACGGGGUUUGUUUGGUCAAGGACCCCAAAUUCAGCUUUACCUCAUUUUCACACCUAUUUCUGAGAGACCCUAAUUAAGAAACUCCGGCAUACGGGUCAUGCGGUGGGUAUUAUUAUUGUUAUUUCCUGUGGGAAAAUCUAUGCUAUUGAAUUUUAGAACUCAUUAUGAUAGCUUCUGUCCCUUAUCUAUCGGUUUGAUUUUUGAGUGGCUGUUUUCUGACUUGUUUAUGUAACUCAAAAUUUUUUGAAAAU